GAAAUAAUACUUCUUGAGCUUCUAACUCAAUAUUUAAUGAAAAAUUUCAUUUUAUUUCA
This 59-nucleotide transfer RNA is filed under the name Anoplolepis gracilipes. RNAcentral describes it as "tRNA-Ser". Lineage: Eukaryota; Metazoa; Arthropoda; Insecta; Hymenoptera; Formicidae. The record is from RNAcentral.